GACUCGACAACGGCGGCGUCUCUUCACACAACGCACUCCACUUGUGAUCUAUCGAACCCAUCCCACACGCCUGCACCGACUUCAUUUCCGUCCUUCUCAUGCCCGUCCACGGCAACACCCGAAGCCUCAAUGAAGAGACGCGCUCACACGUCAAAAGGAAAAGCAAGUGAAACCAUAAGUAUUCUGUGUGGCUCUGCUGUAUCACAGUUGACGUGCACUGACAUAUAUGUGUAUCUGCUUGCACUUUAUCUACGCAAGGGCGUCGCCAUUUCCCUGUCUCUUCUUAUUGCUGCUGCCAUCCUUUGUGCCCUCUCUUCCUUUUCUGUUUCCUCUCAGCCUUGCCGCAUAAGAAUAGCUGCGAGGGUGGGAGUUGAGAGAGGACGCCUCGCGCUCUGUAUGCGUGUGCCACUGGUACACACAUAGGUAUACGUGCCCCGCAGUCACCAGGAGGCACACACACACACACACAACCUCAUUAGCAUGCAGCGGCAGAUACUGGCAGGCGCGCUAGUACCUUUUCUGCUGUUGAUUGAUUUUUGCCCACCGGCAUUUCCUCUACCGCCUUCCCCGUCACCCCUCUCCGGGCCUUUUAGAUUGGAUGCGUGCGCUCUCUCUGUAUUACUCGCCCUCUGCACCGCUGCAUCAGCGCAGCGCUUUGCUUUGCGCCGGUGCUUCCUCUUGUUUUCGGGCCCUUUGCUCUCAUCUUUUUCGAUAGUCUCACCAGAGAUGACAAUGCACCCCCUACCACCACCAACAAAUUGACUCAUGCUCGCACAAAAACGAAUGAAGGAAGCGUUUCCACAGCGUUCGCAUCAAGCGCCUCCAUCACCGCCUUCACGGUUUACGUCCCUCUUGCUUUCUUCUCACUCGUGGCUUUGUCCUUUCCAUGCAAGCCAGGCAGACACACAGUAAUCAGAGCUUGCAAGACAAAAUAAAGAAAUGGGGAGAAGAGGAAAAACGCAUGCCUGCUCACCUGCACAGAAACUGCAAAGACGUCUCCUCGCGCUCGAGUGCGUCGACACAUGGAAAGGAGCUUGCAGUGACCACUGCCGUGCGUGUGAACGGCUGACGCGUCUUGUGCGGCAGGUACACAGGCGUUUUUUAUUUUCAUUCUCUCACUCAAGCUCGACGCAGCAGUUCGACAGCGCCAUCUGCCUCGUUGCCGCUCUUUCGCCAUGGCGCUGCUUUCUUUGCAGCAUCGGAGAGGGGGGAGGCGAGGCGAAUGCUGCACGAUAGAGAGACCGUCUUCUGCUUACCUGCUCUUUCCAUUAUAUACAUAGGGGCGGCAGUGUGGAGUGCGAGCGCGUGGGAUGAGGGAGAGGGGUAGAGUAGGCUGCUGCACGUGAACGCACCCGCAAGAUACUUUCCAGCGCACCCCAAUUUUCUUUUUUUUAUCUGUACCUUUAAGCAGCCCCGAUAGCGGUGUUAGGGAACGCCUCAGUGCGUGGCAUCCGCGGUCCAGUACCCCCACUCUGUGGGAAUGCCGAGCAGCCGCCCGCCCCUGUCCCCCGCCCCUGUCCCCCGCCAGUGCCGAGGCACUUCUGCUGCUGAUAGGGCCAGGCACCUACGGCGUGUGGGAGGUCAGAGCGACUUAUCGCUACUGAUGUCGGCGGCCGGGGUGCUGGAUGGCGCUGCGCCGGAGCGACCUGUGAUUGUGAGCAUAUUUGUGCCAUCCAUAUGAUGGCUAGAGUGUGAGCGUGACUCGAGCGUAUUUCGCCCGGCCCUCACUGCCCUGCUGGUGGGGUGGGGCGCUUGUGUGCCACCCGGAGGGUGAUGCGCCGGGUGGCGAGCAGCACAAUGGGAAGCGACUGUGAGGCAGCCUGCUUGGUGGGCGGGUGGGCAGAGUUUGAGGCAGAGACGGCGCUCCGAUGACUGUGUCGGCGCAUUGCUGUAAUGCGCUUCUAGCGCUGCUUCGCACCGCGCGGAAUGGGGGCCUGUGGCAGGCUGUGAGGGGUAGGGUGGAGUGGAGCUCGUGCUGUAUGGCGGAGGAUGCGCCGGGAAAAGUGCACUUCCUCGCAAAAACCGCUUCUUCUCCCUCCUCUGUUUUUACCAAUUGCAUCGUGGUUUAUGCACAGGGCGUGCAUGUGUGUUCUUUGCUUUUUGGUUGCCUGUGAUGACAUGCGCUCACCUCUGUCCGUCUCUACGUCCGCACUACUCCCCCGCGCGACGCCUCCGCAGCCCUCUCUCUCUCGGAUCUUUUUGUUCCUUCCUGCACUCCAUUCUGCACUGCUCUCUGUUGAAUUGUUAUUUUUUUUUUGCUUACGUUCUUGCUCUGCUGCAACAAGUCGUCUUCUCUUCGCAUGGUGUGUGCACAAGGCGAGAGAUAUAGAUGCCUGCAGGAAAGGGUCACGCGCCAGCAUCCGCUGAAAACUACAGCGAUGGUCUGUAUCAAGUCUCUGCCUCCCCCCCCCCUGUCGAGCUUUACUUGCCAGGAAGUGCAGUUUUGUUCAACUUCCGGCGUGUGUGCAUGUGCGUUCGCUUGACUACUUGAUGUCGUUGAGAUCGCGCCGAGCGCUUGCUCACACCAAACGGAUUCUCUAAAGCUGAGCGUGUGCCGUGCCUCUGCGAGGUAUGCGGCGAACUUGAGAAGGAUUCGCACAUACAUGCCUAUAGAGAAAAAAGGGAUCUCAAAGGAAACAAUUGGAAACAUAAUUGCGUUCAAGCAUCGGGAGGGUCAACACGUUGCUCUUCACCUUCACCUCUUUGGCAGAACUGAUGGCCGGUGUUUCGUCUCUGCCAUAGGUGCUGGAGACUCCGCUUCAUUACCGCUCCUUCUUUUUUUUCUUCGGAGGCAGCUGUGCAGUGUAGCCGGCAAGUGCUCAUCACGACACAUACGUGCUGCUUCAUUCUCCCCCGCUUUAUCACCUCGUUAGGUACACUCUUCUUUAGAAUCACUCUCCUCUGCUAUUCUAUCGCUUUCUGGCCCAUUGACCGGCCCGCUAAUCCCACUCACCCCACUCACUCACCCACGACCGUCGCUACGCAUGACCUGCCCCAACACAUACAG
Molecule: unclassified non-coding RNA, 3007 nt
Filed under: Leishmania donovani
Lineage: Eukaryota; Euglenozoa; Kinetoplastea; Trypanosomatida; Trypanosomatidae
Description: gene:unknown
Source: RNAcentral